Molecule: ribosomal RNA, 351 nt
Filed under: uncultured Desulfobacterium sp.
Lineage: Bacteria; Pseudomonadati; Thermodesulfobacteriota; Desulfobacteria; Desulfobacterales; Desulfobacteriaceae
Description: bacterial SSU rRNA
Rfam family: Bacterial small subunit ribosomal RNA
Source: RNAcentral
CCAGAACACAGGUGCUGCAUGGCUGUCGUCAGCUCGUGUCGUGAGAUGUUGGGUUAAGUCCCGCAACGAGCGCAACCCUUGUCUUUAGUUGCCAGCAUAGGUUGGCACUCUAAAGAGACUGCCGGUGUCAAACCGGAGGAAGGUGGGGAUGACGUCAAGUCCUCAUGGCCUUUAUGACCAGGGCUACACACGUACUACAAUGGCAUAUACAAAGGGCGGCGACAUCGCGAGGUGAAGCGAAUCCCAAAAAUAUGUCUCAGUCCGGAUUGGAGUCUGCAACUCGACUCCAUGAAGUUGGAAUCGCUAGUAAUCGCGGAUCAGCACGCCGCGGUGAAUACGUUCCCGGGCCUU